This 87-nucleotide transfer RNA is filed under the name Microcaldota archaeon. RNAcentral's name for it is "tRNA-Leu". It matches the Rfam family "tRNA". Rfam says of the family: Transfer RNA (tRNA) molecules are approximately 80 nucleotides in length. The record is from RNAcentral. Lineage: Archaea; Nanobdellati; Microcaldota.
GCCCAGGUGGCGAAAUCGGUAGACGCGCUAGUUUCAGGUACUAGUGCUCCUUAUACGAGCUUGGGAGUUCGAGUCUCCCCCUGGGCA